GGACGAAAGUCUGACCGAGCAACGCCGCGUGAGUGAAGAAGGUUUUCGGAUCGUAAAGCUCUGUUGUAAGUCAAGAACGUGUGUGAGAGUGGAAAGUUCACACAGUGACGGUAGCUUACCAGAAAGGGACGGCUAACUACGUGCCAGCAGCCGCGGUAAUACGUAGGUCCCGAGCGUUGUCCGGAUUUAUUGGGCGUAAAGGGAGCGCAGGCGGUCAGGAAAGUCUGGAGUAAAAGGCUAUGGCUCAACCAUAGUGUGCUCUGGAAACUGUCUGACUUGAGUGCAGAAGGGGAGAGUGGAAUUCCAUGUGUAGCGGUGAAAUGCGUAGAUAUAUGGAGGAACACCAGUGGCGAAAGCGGCUCUCUGGUCUGUCACUGACGCUGAGGCUCGAAAGCGUGGGUAGCGAACAGGAUUAGAUACCCUGGUAGUCCACGCCGUAAACGAUGAGUGCUAGGUGUUAGGCCCUUUCCGGGGCUUAGUGCCGGAGCUAACGCAAUAAGCACUCCGCCUGGGGAGUACGACCGCAAGGUUGAAACUCAAAGGAAUUGACGGGGGCCCGCACAAGCGGUGGAGCAUGUGGUUUAAUUCGAAGCAACGCGAAGAACCUUACCAGGUCU
Molecule: ribosomal RNA, 617 nt
Filed under: Streptococcus mutans
Lineage: Bacteria; Bacillati; Bacillota; Bacilli; Lactobacillales; Streptococcaceae
Description: bacterial SSU rRNA
Rfam family: Bacterial small subunit ribosomal RNA
Source: RNAcentral